AAAUGACAAACUAUGUGAACGUAAAUAAGAUAAGUGAUUAUUAAUAU
Molecule: non-coding RNA, 47 nt
Filed under: Trypanosoma brucei brucei
Lineage: Eukaryota; Euglenozoa; Kinetoplastea; Trypanosomatida; Trypanosomatidae
Source: RNAcentral